AAGGCCAUCACUCAAUGGUAGAGCAUCUGCUUUGCAUGCAGAAGGUCCCUGGUUCAAUCCCUGAUGGCAUCU
Non-coding RNA from Podarcis lilfordi (Lilford's wall lizard), 72 nucleotides. The record is from the annotation of a GenBank genome assembly. Lineage: Eukaryota; Metazoa; Chordata; Lepidosauria; Squamata; Lacertidae.